GAUGAACGCUAGCGGCAGGCUUAACACAUGCAAGUCGAGGGGUAACAGGGUUUUCGGACCGCUGACGACCGGCGCACGGGUGCGUAACGCGUAUGCAACCUACCUUUAACAGGAGGAUAGCCCCGAGAAAUCGGGAUUAAUACUCCAUAGUAAUGGAUGAUGGCAUCAUCAUUCAUUUAAAGUUCCGGCGGUUAAAGAUGGGCAUGCGUGGCAUUAGUUUGUUGGUGAGGUAACGGCUCACCAAGACUACGAUGCCUAGGGGGUCUGAGAGGAUGAUCCCCCACACUGGUACUGAGACACGGACCAGACUCCUACGGGAGGCAGCAGUGAGGAAUAUUGGUCAAUGGGCGCAAGCCUGAACCAGCCAUGCCGCGUGCAGGAUGACGGCCCUAUGGGUUGUAAACUGCUUUUAUUAAGGAAUAAACCCCCGGUCGUGUAUCGGGGUUGAACGUACUUAAAGAAUAAGCAUCGGCUAACUCCGUGCCAGCAGCCGCGGUAAUACGGAGGAUGCAAGCGUUAUCCGGAUUUAUUGGGUUUAAAGGGUUCGCAGGCGGCGUAUUAAGUCAGUGGUGAAAUCCCUCGGCUCAACCGAGGAACUGCCAUUGAUACUGGUAUGCUAGAGUAUAGUUGGCGUAGGCGGAAUAUUUCAUGUAGCGGUGAAAUGCUUAGAUAUGAAAUAGAACACCGAUCGCGAAGGCA
This 699-nucleotide ribosomal RNA is filed under the name Bacteroidota bacterium. RNAcentral's name for it is "bacterial SSU rRNA". It matches the Rfam family "Bacterial small subunit ribosomal RNA", at positions 28 to 723 of the family's 1533-position model. Lineage: Bacteria; Pseudomonadati; Bacteroidota. The record is from RNAcentral.